UACGAAGGGGGCUAGCGUUGUUCGGAAUUACUGGGCGUAAAGCGCACGUAGGCGGAUCUUUAAGUCAGAGGUGAAAGCCUGGAGCUCAACUCCAGAACUGCCUUUGAUACUGGGGAUCUAGAGUUUGGAAGAGGUUGGUGGAACUCCUAGUGUAGAGGUGAAAUUCGUAGAUAUUAGGAAGAACACCAGUGGCGAAGGCGGCCAACUGGUCCAAUACUGACGCUGAGGUGCGAAAGCGUGGGGAGCAAACAGG
This 253-nucleotide ribosomal RNA is filed under the name uncultured bacterium. RNAcentral describes it as "partial 16S ribosomal RNA". It matches the Rfam family "Bacterial small subunit ribosomal RNA", at positions 524 to 776 of the family's 1533-position model. The record is from RNAcentral.